RNAcentral lists this unclassified non-coding RNA (355 nucleotides) under Hevea brasiliensis (rubber tree). The record is from RNAcentral. Lineage: Eukaryota; Viridiplantae; Streptophyta; Magnoliopsida; Malpighiales; Euphorbiaceae.
AACAGUAUUACUGUUGUUGAUGUUGUUGUUGUUGCUCUGAGGCUUUGGAACUGAAGGGAAUUGAAGAUGGUGGUGAUGAAUCUCAUCCUCGUGAGUCAAAUCUGAGGAUGGAACACUUUCAAUGCUAUCUAAUUCCAUUCAUAAGAUUAACCCCAAACCCCCAAAAAGAGAGAAAGCAAAGUAAUUUUCCAAGUUUAAGGCGUAUUCUCUGAUAAGUAUUCACAAUUCUCUAUGAUCCAUUCCUGGAAGAAAAGAAACAGUGUCUUUCCUAAUCGGUGAGCGAGAGAGAAAUAAUGCAGAUAGACAUUGCAAGAGUCAGCCGAUGAACAUCAAAGGGUUUCAGGCGAGAGAGAGA